RNAcentral lists this non-coding RNA (24 nucleotides) under Thermus thermophilus. RNAcentral also lists the same sequence under 2 other names. Lineage: Bacteria; Thermotogati; Deinococcota; Deinococci; Thermales; Thermaceae. The record is from RNAcentral.
UGUUGGGUUAAGUCCCGCAACGAG